GUUGCACAGAUCACAUUUAGACUUUAACUCUAGCAUGUUUCACUACAAAAAUACAGUCAUAAUGACAUUUAUUUUAGUUGAAAUCCCACAUAACGAGUUCAAUGAACACAGCAUAACAAACUUCAAAAACCAACAACACUUGAACGACACAAGUGACUGACAGUUAGCUGGUUUGCUAAGCUAAAUGAAAGAUACCGUUAAGGGCAAAUUAAAAAGAUUAUUCUAAUAAACUCAACAAAAACGAUUUAACUCGUUGCCAUCAAAAUGUCUCUAAGCAGCGAUGACUUAAUCAAUUUGAAAUCACAUGUUUGGGUAAACGUGUUAGCUUCAGUGCUAUCAAGUACAUGCCCCACGUGUGUUUACGUACACAUGGAAGCCGGCUGUGUACAUUUGUAGCAAUAAACAGACACGAUUGUGUUUCAAAAACAAUUGUCAUCGUUCAGACGCUCAACCACACCACAGGGCACAGUAUUAAACGAUUGAUAAAAAAGCGAUUAAAAUUCUAACCUGUUUAUACGUUUCCGAUUUUGGAAGUGCAACACGGCGAGACUCGCUUCCGGUUGGACUCCACAGGAAAACAAAAUGGUUGGCCAACCAAUCUUCGUUCCUGGGAAAGCUGGCGAACAUUUACCCCACAGACCGAAUGUUAGUGACCCCUAGGGUAGCCUAUAUGGCAUGAGUGAAACAUGAUGGCUGAUGUAGGAAUCACGGUGUGAAUGCCAUCUGAUUCUGAAGAUGUCUCCAUGCGUGUCAGCGUCAGAAAAGGCCAUCAAAGCAGCGGAUUGUUUUCUUUCAAAAGGAAAAGGGAAGCACUUGUUCAUCGGUUAAUCUGCACAAAUUCAAACCAGUCGGGUGUUGAAUAUGGAGUCACAAGCGAGGAUCCAGCCCUUUCCUUUCCAAUAUCUGAUUCCACAUGGCUGUUCUGCAUGAGAAAGAUUUUCAUUUGGGAAAAGAAGCCAAAUGGCCACCUUCUCCAGCUCCUGCAUUUAUAUUGCUGAUGUCUCCACAGUCUGCACAUUCAGUGUGUUAUUCAAGUGUAACAUUGACCCAUACUGUGCUGUGAUCAAUAUUUGAGCAUACAAUUAUCAUGGCGUUGAAAGUUAUAAGUCUAUUUGAGUUCUGUAUACAAACAUAAUAGCUGUAUUGCUGUGUAAGAGAGUCUAGAAAUAGAAAGGAGAUAGCCCAAUACAUUUUUCAAGAGUAGAGAGAAAACAACAUAAAGGGGCGGUUUCCUGAACAGGGCUUAUCUUAGUCCCAGACUAAAAUGCUUGGUUGAGCUGCCUUCAUUUUAAAACAUCUUGCACUGACAUAUUCUAACAUAUUUCAGUGCUAUAGUUUUGUCUCAAGAUGCUCACCAGUAUUGCUUUUUUGUAAGCUAUGUUUGUAAAAAUUCCUUAAAUGUCCUAAUAUAACUAAGACCUAGUCCUGGAUUAACCUAAACCUAAACUGCCCCAAAGGGUAUAUCAGACAUACACAUGUAAAACACAUCUAUGUGGAAAUUGCUACAUAAUGGGUUAAUAAAAGUGAUGAUAAUAAUAAAUACAUUUAAAUACAAGGAACCUUUGGUUUUAACAGUGUUUUGUUUGCCAGAUAUUGUUUAUAUUUUAAAGGUCCACACAGAACAU
Long non-coding RNA from Misgurnus anguillicaudatus (oriental weatherfish), 1625 nucleotides. RefSeq lists it as uncharacterized. The record is from RefSeq and is a predicted model, not a curated record. NCBI's taxonomy places the organism in Eukaryota, Metazoa, Chordata, Actinopteri, Cypriniformes, Cobitidae.